UUUCUCCCGAUGUGAACAGAACAGGCUGGAUUGGUCACGAGGUCAGUGUGGAAUUCAAGUCAACUGCCACAUCUGGACAUCUAAAAUAGCUUUCUUGUAGCAUAUCUUGUCCAUGAUCUGCUGUAUUUUAAUUCUCUGAUUGUCAUUAUUGUACAGUAUUGUCUUCAGAUUCUUCUUC
RNAcentral lists this small RNA (178 nucleotides) under Oryza sativa Japonica Group (Japanese rice). RNAcentral describes it as "sRNA Os03g0285166". Lineage: Eukaryota; Viridiplantae; Streptophyta; Magnoliopsida; Poales; Poaceae. The record is from RNAcentral.